GACGAACGCUGGCGGCGUGCUUAACACAUGCAAGUCGAGCGGUAAGGCCCUUUCGGGGGUACACGAGCGGCGAAACGGGUGAGUAACACGUGGGUGACCUGCCCUCAGCUCCGGGAUAAGGCCUGGGAAACCGGGUCUAAUACCGGAUAUGACUCCAUGACGCAUGUUGUGGGGUGGAAAGCCUUGUGCGGCUGAGGAUGGGCCCGCGGCCUAUCAGCUUGUUGGUGGGGUGAUGGCCCUACCAAGGCGACGACGGGUAGCCGGCCUGAGAGGGCGACCGGCC
RNAcentral lists this ribosomal RNA (283 nucleotides) under uncultured bacterium. RNAcentral describes it as "partial 16S ribosomal RNA". It matches the Rfam family "Bacterial small subunit ribosomal RNA", at positions 28 to 309 of the family's 1533-position model. The record is from RNAcentral.